CAGGAGCAAGCACACGCACGGGCUACGUAAGCACGCAUGCACUCACGCAGGCGCUAAGCGUGGCCAGAGGAUCCAGGAGGGUCCUCGGCGAGGCUCGCGUCUGUGUGAAGUCCCAGAGGCCUGGAAGACAGUUCCAUGUCCUGGCGCGGACAGUCGGGAAAGCACUUCGUGUACCUGAAGUCUUCUUAAGAGAAGAUGAAGCGGACUCGCCGGGGAUUUGACCCUGGACCUCUCGCACCCGAAGUGAGACCCCUGCCCCUGCACCAAGCAGCCACCCGCCGGCCUCGCGCCCCACCGGGUGCGGAAGGAGGAGGUGGAGGGCUUGGCUUUGCGUCUGGAUUCUCGGGGAUGCCCGCCCCCGAGUGCUGCAGUAGUUACCCUCCACGCGCCACCCCUGAAGGGCAAGGUCGGUGCCACUGCCCGUCCCAGCUGAAGUCACCAAGCGCCGCUCGCUUGCUUGCAAGAAGACUAACCCGUGGGAAAACACCUCCUUUCUAUCUUUUCUAAACUGAAGCCUGGUGGUUAAAGAGCUAUUGUACAUAUAUAAAUGUUACACCAUAUUUUGAAGGGUGGCAGGAUGGAGGAUGAAAAGAUGAUCUCUGAUGAUCUCUGUUAUCAGUCUGGUCCUCUUCAUCUCUCAAAGGUUCCAGAGCUCUGAAUCAGAUUUGAGAGCAACUCCUGAGACACCUACUACAUCACUUGAAUUUCUUUUUAACUAGACUGUAUGAACAAUAUCAGGGGAUGGAGAGGUGAACAGUCUCAGGUUAUUUUUGAGUCAUUAUUGGAAACUGUAUUAAAGGACAUGUUUUGCAUUCAUGUGAUGUAUAAUGCCCCACCUAGAUCUGACACCUAAUGAGUUAGACAGGUAAUCACAUCCUUCUCAGCCCAGAUUUCUCAACUAAAAGUGAAGUCAGUGCACUC
This 921-nucleotide long non-coding RNA is filed under the name Heterocephalus glaber (naked mole-rat). RNAcentral describes it as "lncRNA (ENSHGLG00100040032.1)". The record is from RNAcentral. Lineage: Eukaryota; Metazoa; Chordata; Mammalia; Rodentia; Bathyergidae.